CCGAUCGGCGCGCGGGGGCGGCGGCAGUGGCAGUAGCGCCUUGACAGGGCUGUGGCGCUGCUGUAGGCGCGACAGAGGAGCAGCAGUCGCGAUCUGGGCUUGCUGGCGCGACGUGGAGCUGCUCUGUGAAGGUGCGACUUGCAGCAGUGAGCUACAGCAGUAGCGUGCGGUGGUCGAUCUGCUCCAACUUGCAGGCGCAGCACAACAGUAGGGAAGAAGAAAGAAAGAAAGGAAAAGAAAAGGAAAGGAAAGAAAAGAAAGAAAGGAAGAAGAAGAAAAAGAAGAAGAAGAAGAAAAGAGGAGGUGGAGGAGGAGUGGUGAUCGGAGGUGGUGUCGCUGGUGGUCAAGAAGCGCAGAAAAAAAAACGGGGGAGGGGAGUGAGGUGUGUGCUAGAAAUAGAGGAAAAAAAAGAAAAUUCUAGAUGGUUUGGGUCCAACCGGUUCGAUUCGGUUCGGUUCGGCCCAAAUCUUCGGUUUCCAAUUGGUUUACGGGUUUUUCAAUCGAUUUUUGGUUCGGUUUCCCACAGAGUUCACAUUAAAAUAUUAAAAUAAAUUUCCAAGCUGUCGGUUUAUUAAAUUUAAUUGGAAAAUCUUUGAAAAUAAAAAUUCGAGUUGUUUCAGGUAAAUACACUAAUUAAUUUUAAUUUCGUUAAAUUAUUUAAUUGUUUUAUAAAAAAAUAUUAUUUUAGAAAUUAAACGUCUUAUAACAUUUAAUUAUUUGAUUAUUUAUAUUUAAUAUAACAUUACAUAUUAAUUAGUCUCUCAUAUUUACAAUUGAAUUACUAUAUCGUGUCAAUUAAUAGCAAAAAAAAUAUAUUUUUUUUGAACCGACGAUUUAAUAGAUUAAUAAAUUAAAUUCAAAUACUUUCUUUUCAAAGGUUAAUUCAAAUACUUUAUAAAUUAAUUAAUGUAUUUAUUAAAUAAAAAAUGUGAAAUUAUAAUUAUAAGCAUUUUUGAGAGAUCAACAAUUAUUUGCAUUUCUUCUAAAUAAACAGUUAUUUGCGCUUCUUUCUAGUAUAAUUUAUCUUAUAUGUUAUUAAAAUAAAUAAAUAAGACACUUAUAUAAAAAUAAAUAAAUAUAUUAACUAUUUUAAUAAUUCAUAUAUAUUUUAAUCACUAUACUGUUUUAUUAGCUAUUAUAAAUUUGAGAAUGUACGCAAGAAGUGACGUAGCAAACUAAAUUCCAAACCUCCGGUAUUAGUUCGAAUGUCAUUUUUUGUUUUGUACAUAUAUGCCAUUUCUUUAUUUCUAGAGUAAAUAAUUAUUUAAUUUUUUAUAAUUACAAUUGCAUCCCUUUCAUUUGGUAUUUAUAUUAAUUAAUUCUAAAUAUUUAGUCCCAUUAAACUAUUUAAUCAUAAAUUUAGGGGGUUAAAUUACUUUAUAAUAUAUCCGAUCCUUUAUAUAAAUGUUUGUCAAGUCCAUAAUGAAUAUUUAUAUUCCAUCAAGUUCAAAUCCGAUAAAUAAGCUUAUUUCAUUAUUGUUGUAUUAGUAAGUUGAAGUUACAAUAAACUGUUUAUAAAACGAACCAAACGAUUAUUUUAUAUUAAAAAAAUUUUCCUGAUAGCCUCAAAUUUGACUACCAAAUUAUUUUGCAAGGGAAGACUUUCUAAUUGCCUCAAAUUUGGCUACCAGUUUAUCUCUAGGUGGCCAGUUUUCUUGAAUGACUGGGGCAUUUGCAAAUUCUUGUAUCCACUGUACUAGUAGUGGAAAUUUUUGUUGGUCUAUGAGUUUAAAACCAAGUAUCUCCUCAAAUACACCAUUAUGGUGAGCAAGCCACCCCAAUGCAAGAUCCAAUAGUCCAAUUUUCUCUCCUCCAAAGAAUUUCUUUCCUCUCAGCUCCUUUUCCAAAUGCUUCAAGUUCUCUAUAGCUAGAGGUAUUGCUUCUUCUUGCUCCUUCCCUUGCUUCAAGAAUAUCCCAUAAACUAUUGACUGAAAGACCUGCAGCAGUCAAGAAAAACCUAAGUGUGUGUAUAUAUAUUUUUAUAUAUAAUAAGUACAUAACAAUAUUUUGUACCUUAGUGUCUAAGGAAAAACAGAGACAAAGACAAGAGGCCAUUAAUAAUACCUUAUCAUCACCAAACUUAGCCCAAAAGCGAGCUCUGGCUCGCUCAAGAGGAUCUUCAGGCAACAAUGGAUUCUGUUUCCAAGUCUCAUCUAUGUAUUCAAGAAUGACAAGUGAUUCACACAAUGGUUUUCCAUUGUGCAGAAGCACAGGAACUUUCUUGUAAACAGGAUUAUAUUGCAGAAGUAAAGGGCUCUUGUUAGAUAGAUCUUCAUAUACUGUUUCAUAUUCAAUCCCUUUGAGUUUUAAUGCCCAAACUGCUCUUAAAGCAAAUGAACUUGACCAUGUCCUAAAAACUUUCAAGUCUUCUCCCAUCUUUCUUUGGCCUUUUCUUGUUGUUCUCUCCUAAUUAUUUGUUAUUCUUGCUCACUCCCUUUUAUAAAGAAAUUCCUCACUUCCGAUUUCCCAUGCACCAUUUAUUUGCAUACAAAGAAUUCCUUAGUUCUAUUUUUGUCAUUCUUCUUGUAUUAUGUCAUAUUACAUCAAUCAGUCAUCAAAAUUUUGACAACUAAACAAAUAGGUUGAAUAUAUAUAUACUUUUUACAAAAAAAAUUUAUAGCACCCUCAUUUUUUUUUUUUUAACAUAUUGAACACUUUAAUUUAUAAAAUUAAAUUUAUUAAAUACUUCAAUUAACAUAUUAAAUAUUUCAAUUUAUAAAAUUAGAUUAAUUAAACAUUUAUUAAAUAAUUAAAAAAUAUGAAUUUUAUCAUUUCAAAAUCAACAUUUUACAUAUAAAAACUAAAAACCUUAAAUCGUUUUUAACGUGACGAGAUGUGAAAUUAUUAUAAAAAAAGAAGUCGAUGGUGUUACAAAGUCGAUUUUAAAGGUCAACUUGUCAUACUAUGUGCUUUUUAAAAUUUCAGGGUUAAAUUAUGUAUUUAGCCUAAAGAAAUAUUUACAGUGUUUUAGUGUAUAAUUUAUUUUUGUCCUAAUUCUGCAACCUUUGUAACGCCUCAAAUUUACGCAAGAAGUGACGUACAACAGCUUUAGACUUCUAGUCCAAGCCUCCGGUCUUCGUUCGAGUGGCUCAGUCUAUUUGGGCGGCUGUAUUUGAACUUCCGUCGUAUUUCACAAUAAUUUUUUAAUAGCUUUUUAGGAUUUUAAUCGGUUUAAAUAUUAAAUAUUAUUUUUUAUAAUGUUUGAUAAUAUAAUAUUAUUUUAAUUAAUUUAUAAAAAUUAUAAUAAUAUUUUAUAAAAAGCUAAUUCAUAAAAUAUUUAAUUUUUAACAUUUUAUAAAAAAUUAUUCAAACAGUUAAAUACUUAUAUACUAAAGCCAACAAUUAUCAAAAACAGUUAAUUUUGCAGAACAAAUUCUAAAAUUCAUUCUGAGGAGUUCCACUUGAUAAAUUGACAAAGAAGAACCAUAAAUUAUAAAUUUUAAUAAUUCAGAUCAAUAUGAUAUAGUACAGUACAAUUUAUAAGAGAUCAUUUAGUGUAAAUAAAUUUACAAAAUUUUAUUGAAUUUAUAUAUAAAUUAAAAUUUUAUUUAUUUAUAAAAUCAAUUAUUUACUAAUUUUGUAAAACCUAAAUCUAAAAUGGUAGUCAAUUCAAAUAUAAAGAUUUUGUCUUUCAAAUGAAAAUGAAUUACAUAUGAUUUUUAAAACAUAUUAUGUAAUAAUUCCCAGAAAUUUAUCGUAUCAUACAAAUUAAAACUUAUUCAAUGCCUUUUUGCUAACUUGGAAAGCUUUUCCUUAUCCUCUUUCAAUUUUUUCUUUUUUCUUUUUUCUUAUUUAAAAAAAAACAAUAGUUUCCUUUCGUUUGGAGAGGAAAGUUUCCUCUUUUACACUCGCUUUUCUGUUUAUAUCGAAGUGAUGUUAAAGUGGCAUUUAGAUGGAUAACAUUUAAAUCUUAUAAUUAGAGAUGUCCGUUGUUCAACGCAAACCGUUAAAUUAAAUCGGAUCAAAAAUCAAGUUAAAUAAAUUACUUUAAUUUAGUUAUUAUGAAAAAACAAUUUGGAUUAUAAAUUUUGAAAAACAAAAAGGUUUUGGUGUGAAAAUGCCUUCGAACUGCCCCAAACCAUACCAUACACACCCCUACUUGUCGUUCACGGACGGCACGAGCUACAAAAACCCCGUCUAACAUGAACGACGUGUCAUUUUAAGGACUAGGAGUUGCCCAAAUAGAACGACGUCGUUCUGUUGUUGAAAUAAAUCAACAAAAAAAAAAAAAAAUACCACCUGAAAAUUCGAGAAGAAAUCUUUCGUACACUCUGCAAACACAUGAACUAGAUUAAUCACAGACGCAAUGAACCCUGGCUAGAACAGAGAAAAAUCCAAGUAGAUUAAUGGAGGAUCCGAUUGUUAAAGUAGAACAGAAGUCGGCGGUGAUGGACAGGAAGGAUAAGAGGAGGGAGAGAAAGAAGAUAAAGAGGAAGCAAUUAAGGAGAGAGCUGGCCGAGAAGAGGAGAGAAGAGGAGGAGAGGAAAUUAAACGAUCCGGAGGAGCAGAGGAGAGCUAUGGAGAUGGAAGAAGAGGAGAGGCAAAGGAUGGAGAAAGAGAGAAAGGAAUUUGAGGAGCGAGAGAGAAAGUGGUUAGAAGAUAUGGAAAGAAAGAGGAAAGAAGAACAAGAAGAAGAAGAAGAAGAGGAAAGAAGGAAAGCUUUGGAAGUAGAGGAAAGAGCUAAGAGAUUGCAGGUAUAAUGGGUGAUUUUUUUUUUUUUUAAAUUUUCAUGUGAAUUUUAAUAUUUUUUUUUUUUACGAGAAUUUUUAAUAAUUGUAUUGUCUGUUGUGAUUUUGGCAUUUGUUUGGCUGCCGGGAUGGAAUAUUUAUUUGUUUCUUUUCUAAUUUUUUUUAAUCUCUUUGUUUUCUGUCUUUUUAAGUAGAUACGAAGUAAGGUGAAAGAAUGUCAUUGAAAAUUUUGAUUUCAAUGCCUCAAGAGUUAAAUUGAUUAGUUUUGAAUGGUUGAAUUAAUUGCUGUUGUUAGGGUUGCAUUAUUUUUUUUUGUUGGGAAAGGCAAGGGAAGGAGAA
This 5027-nucleotide long non-coding RNA is filed under the name Jatropha curcas. RNAcentral describes it as "long non-coding RNA (JCUR_LNC000757)". Lineage: Eukaryota; Viridiplantae; Streptophyta; Magnoliopsida; Malpighiales; Euphorbiaceae. The record is from RNAcentral.